AUUCUGACCGCAGAGAGGAGGGGGCGCUUUACUCGGGCGCGUCGUACGGUUGAUAUCCUUUAUUACCAUAGCCGAGCAUACGCCACCGAACACAUGCUGGGGCAACGAACAGUCAGGACACUCCAGACAGACCCAACAAUACCGACAAAACUUAAAGGAUACAAUAAUGCCGAGCAGCCUUGUCGCGGACUAGCUGUGUAUCUCUGAGAGACGGCGGAGGGAAACGGCUGGGUAUCAUACCAUUUCCACCUUUAGAUUUGAGCCUGUCUCUCUCUCUGUUGUGUUUAUUUGGACAUGUCCUCGCUAAAUAUAGACGACGACGACCAGAGAUGGGUUCCUACACACGUCCAGGUCACCGUUCUGCGGGGAAAAGGUUUGCGGGCGAAGGGUAAACACGGUACCAGCGACGUCUACACCAUUAUCCAGGUGGGCAAGGAGAAAUACUCGACUUGUGUUCUGGAAAAGACCACUGCUCCCGAAUGGAAAGAGGAAUGUUGUUUCGAGUUAUUACCCGGUGUUCUGGAGCAGGUUGGGGACGGGGGCGCAUACCCACCCGGGAGCAGCGACUUGGUCCUCACGGUGAUGCACCGGGCGCUCAUGGGACUGGACGUGUUUCUGGGCCAAGCCGUCAUCCCCCUGGAUAAGGUGUUUCAGGACAGAAUAUGCAUGAAAAACGAGUGGUACAAGCUGAACUCCAAGACUGGGAAGAAAGAGAAGGAGCGAGGGGACAUCCAGGUGACGGUGCAGUUCACCAAGAACAACCUGACAGCCAGCAUGUACGACCUCUCCCUGGGUAAGGACAAGCCCCGGUCCACCUUCGGCAAGAUCAAGGACCGCAUCAAGGGCAAGAAGAGGAGCAGCAAGGACUCUGAUGAAGACUCUGCUUCCACUAUUGUGGGCGGCUACGGACCCGUUUCCCGCAUGAGGAACCGGUUGCCGAGCGAUGGCGGCGGGGAGGAAGACUAUGAGGACGAUGAAGGAGGGGAGGGGCGGAGGAGUAAGAUGAGGAACUUCUUCCUGCGAGGGAAACUGAGGAAGUCGUCCGAUACGAGGUCGAGCACGUCGCUAGGGUCGGAGAGUAGUGAGUCGUCGUCGAGGGGAGGGAGUCUCAGUCCCACCGCUGGGAUCUCUGUAGUGGUGUCUGACCUGUCUAACUCGCCUAGCAACAGCAGCAACUUCACAGCAGACAGCCCUGAUCAUACGGCAGAGUCGUCUCCCAAGCUGGCCUCCUAUACAUGCGAGUUCACUGACGAGUCUGGAGAGAUCAACAUCCCUGUGCCUCAGCCUGUCUGCAUCAAUGGAAGCCAUGUGUACAACACCAUCCUGGACCCUUGCCCGGGGAACCCCGUAGUACCCUUAGAUCCUCUAGCCCUGGUGAAGAAGAACCUUCCUCUUUCCCAAUCCCUCCAGAACCUCAGCCAGCGGAGAGAGGAGCUCCCUGUCCUCCUCCCUAAAGGUCCCGCUGCGGACGGCCGGCGCUGGUCUUUUGACAAGGCAGGGGAGGAGGAGAAGGUGGUCAUCGCAGCGGCCCUGGAGCAGGCUGGCCAGGGGAUGGGCGAGGGGGCCAGGGAGGAGUCAGACAGAGACAGCCAGGGGAGGAAACGGAGCAGGGACUGUCUGGAUGAGUCUGAACAGGCCUCGAACUCUGACUCUGGCCCAGGCGAGAAACACAAAGGAUGGUUUGGAUCAAAGGACAACCAUAACAAACCCAGCCCGGUGGUGUCACCUAGCUCAGGCCCUCACCUCACUCCCCAUACCCCUAGUCUCACCCCUCUUACCCCUGGUCUCACUCCCCAUACCCCUAGUCUCACCCCUCUUACCCCUGGUCUCACCCCCCAUACCCCUGGUCUGCUGUCCUGGGGCCCCCCUCACCUCCCUGUAGAUCCUAACUCACUGGGCACCUCACUCCGUCACACUAACCCCUUCAGCCCGUCUCCUCCCACAAUGUCUCCCUCCAACCCGUUCCUCUCUCUCCUCCAGUGUAACCCUUUCUAUGAGGAACUCUUAGCUGACCGAGCUCUAAACCUUAACUCUGCCCAGCCCCAUCUGCCCCCCUGUUGUUCUAGCUUCACCUCCCGUAUCUCAGUAGCACCGCAAACCUGGUCUACCAACCCUAACCCCGUACCCAUCCUGCCCCUAACACAAGACUGCACUAACACUGGUAUGAAGGAACAAAGACCCUUCCUAAAACCUCCUCCAGAAGAGAAGAGUGCCAACACUAAGGACAAAGAAGAAGAAGCAGCAACAGUCAAAACUAGCCAGAGAUCGCUCCCUCCGCUCCCGAAGACUGAGAGGAUGUCCUCUGCUGACACUCCCCUCUGUGAGGAAGACAUGUCCUACACUAAGGCUGAGAAGAUGUCCUCUGCUAACUCUCCCCUCUGUGAGGAAGACAUGUCCUACACUAAGGCUGAGAAGAUGUCCUCUGCUAACUCUCCCCUCUGUGAGGAAGACAUGUCCUACACUAAGGCUGAGACGAUGUCCUCUGCUAACACUCCCCUCUGUGAGGAAGACAUGUCCUACACUAAGGCUGAGAAGAUGUCCUCUGCUAACUCUCCCCUCUGUGAGGAAGACAUGUCCUACACUAAGGCUGAGAAGAUGUCCUCUGCUAACACUCCCCUCUGUGAGGAAGACAUGUCCUACACUAAGGCUGAGAAGAUGUCCUCUGCUGACACUCCCCUCUGUGAGGAAGACAUGUCCUACACUAAGGCUGAGAGGAUGUCCUCUGCUGACACUCCCCUCUGUGAGGAAGACAUGUCCUACACUAAGGCUGAGAAGAUGUCCUCUGCUGACACUCCCCUCUGUGAGGAAGACAUGUCCUACACUAAGGCUGAGACGAUGUCCUCUGCUGACACUCCCCUCUGUGAGGAAGACAUGUCCUACACUAAGGCUGAGAAGAUGUCCUCUGCUGACACUCCCCUCUGUGAGGAAGACAUGUCCUACACUAAGGCUGAGAAGAUGUCCUCUGCUGACACUCCCCUCUGUGAGGAAGACAUGUCCUACACUAAGGCUGAGAAGAUGUCCUCUGCUAACUCUCCCCUCUGUGAGGAAGACAUGUCCUACACUAAGGCUGAGACGAUGUCCUCUGCUAACACUCCCCUCUGUGAGGAAGACAUGUCCUACACUAAGGCUGAGACUGCAUCAUUCCACUCUGCCACUGGCUCAGACAACAUGGCUGCUUUAGACUUGAUGGGGGAGUUCUCUGACGAUCGAUGCUGGGCCGCUCUUGAUGAUGUCAUCCAGUCGGACACAUUAGAUCGAGCCACGUCCCACCUGGGAGCCAUGCGUGUUGAUAAAGAGAAGACCACUUCCUCUGAAGCAAGGAUAGACUGGCCAAUCGGCAUGGACUUAAAAUCAUAUAACUCAGCAGAACUUUCCGAUGCACUUCUACACUCUUUCAGCUCUCAAGCUCACAGUCCACUAAAAACAUUUCAGUCCAGUACUGGGACAUCUAGUGGUGAGAAGGUCAAUGAAGACAUUGAGGAUUACAAAUCAGAGGACCAAUACUCAGAACACCCUCGUGUGGAGUCCGUUGUAGUCCAACGGUCCCUCUCAGAGGGCACAAGUAUGAACAGCGUUGAGGACCUGACUCCAUCGUUCGGCAGCGACCCCGGCGUUGUAACCCUGGGGUCGUUGUCCUUUGUCCAGCAGCAUGACACUUCUGACCUCCUCGCAGCCUCCUCCUUCUUCUUCUCCGCUCCUUCCUCUCUAACUGCUGAAAGUAACACCUCUUCCUGUCCAGCUCUCUCCUCUCUCCCUGCCCCGCCCCCUGCUACUGUGAGGUCAUCGGUAAGCACUGUCUCGGCCGCACCCCUUUUCUCCACUGCGCAGCCAGUGAUUGGUGCGUCGCAUGCUGGCAUGCCCCAGGAGACGCAUCCGCCAGCCAAUCAGCAGAUCAGUCCUCACCCAGUGAAGCCCCUGACCCCAGAGGAGAGGAGGAGGGCGGAACUUUCCGAGGGGCGGUCGGUGCUGGACAAACUGAAGUCCUCCAUCCACCCUGGGUGGAGCAGCCAGCCCACCGAGCAGCAGCCUGAGAAGAAGAAGUCUCUGACUGAGGGAGCUGGGCCUUACUACCACCUGACCCACAGUGAGCUGGUCGCCCUCCUCCUCCAACGGGAGGCAGACCUACACCGGCAGAGGGCGGAGUUUGACCAACAGGGGGCGUUGCUAGCGAAGCGGGAGGCGGAGUUGAAGAAGAUGAAGCCCCAGGUUAGGGAUCUGGAGGACUACAUAGACACGCUGCUGGUUCGCAUUAUGGAGCAGACUCCCACCAUCCUGCAGGUCGGCACCAAGCUCAAGUGACCGAUUGAGGGACUGAUGGAAUGGGGGGUAAAUAGCACCUAGGGGGGGGGGGGGGUUGUGACGUUCCCAGGUUUUUCAGACAUCCUGGUUGGAAGAUUCCCGGAAUAUCAGGAGGGAAUAAGCAGGGAAUCCAGGAAUACUCUUAACUGGGAUUGCUGGAACACCUGAGAAUUUUGUUUGCCGCAAUUUUGCAACUCUGCUUGCACCUCUUUACUCUGACCUCCCUCCCCCCCUCCUCCAUAACAACCUCUACUCUGACCGCCCCCAUAACAACACAACAACAAUUAGCUGUCUUCUUUUUAGUCUGUUCACUGCUGUACUUCUGACAUAAUACUGUAGCUAGAGAACACAGCACUGACAAAAGGGGAUGGUUUGGAAUUGACUUCACUUGUAUCGGAACGUGCCGUCCCUGUUUCGAAGGGGUUUGGGUUGGAGCGGCGGUGGGUUUGGGUUGUGGUUUGUUUUCAGGUAUACCCAGUUGGUAUUGCGCUAAGAGACCAAAACCCAGAUCACUCCGAUACUGAAUGACUUCCUCUUUAUCACCUAGGUUACAUCCAAAAUGGCACCCUAGAUCCUGUGUAGUGCACUACUUUUGAUCAGGGACCAAAGGGAAAACCCAUAUAGGGCUCUGGUCAAUAGUAGUGCACUAUAUAGGGAAUAGGGUGCCAUUUGGAAUGCGGACCCAGUCACUUCACACAACCUAGACAUUUUUGCCCUGCAGACAAGUGCACCUACAACAGUUGUCGAGCUACAAACCAAAUGAGUGAUAGUUCCUAUCACUCAUGUGUUAUGGGGCUGUGUCCCUAAAAGUAGUGCACUAUGUAGGGAAUAGGUUGCCAUUUAGGAUGCAAAAAUGAUGUGCAAAUGAAAUGGAAUGGGAAGUGGUUUUAGGUUCAAAAGUGUUCUUACAAAAACAAACAGGUGAAUAGUUUGAUCUUUGACGCGAAGUUCAGCUUGAUAUGCUUUUUUCUUUCAUUUCUUACGUAUUACAGACAGACAGACAGACAGACAGACAGACAGACAGACAGACAGACAGACAGACAGACAGACAGACAGACAGACAGACAGACAGACAGACAGACAGACAGACAGACAGACAGACAGACAGACAGAAUGUGUUGAUACCAUCAAGAUAAGUACUGUAGGUCUCAAUGUUAGGCCUAUUACCAGGCUAGAUACUGUACUGUUUCAGAUGAUACUACCAGGCUAAGAAAUUGAGUGGUGUGUGUAGUGCAGAUAGACAUGGACAGAAUGUAUUGAUACGAUCAGGUUAAGUAUUGUACUGUUUCAGAUAGUGUGGCAAAAAUUCUGAUCGCGUUUUCCAGAAAUCCAGGUUGGAAUAUUCCGGGAUUCGCGAAGGGAAUAAGUAGGAAAUCUGGAAUCCUCCAACAAGGACUUGUGGAAAAUAAUAAAAAUUAUUUUGUUGGGAACCCCUAGAUUCAGAUAUUACGAUCAGGAAAAGUAUUGUACUGUUUCAGAUGUAUUGUUAAUACCAGGCUAUGUUCUGUACAGUUUCAGAUGUAUUGUUAAUACCAGGCUAUGUUCUGUACAGUUUCAGAUGUAUUGUUAAUACCAGGCUAUGUUCUGUACUGUUUCAGAUGUAUUGUUAAUACCAGGCUAAGAACGGUCUGGGUGACACUGCUUCUCCAACAUGCUUCGUCCUUCCUUCCACUGUGCAUUAUUAAAUCGACACGGUUUAUAAUAGAGACAAAAUAAUGCAUAGAAACAUGAUUUAUUAUAGCAACAAUACAAUGCAUAGACACAUGCUGGUACUUGACUCCCCUCUGUCUGUCUCUGCCCCUGUAUGUCCCCCCUCAUUCCCUGCGCUUGAGCUAAAGCAUGCUAAUAAUAAUGCUGUCAGGUGUGUUACUAAAGGGAUAUAUAACGUAUCUACAGUGUAUAUGCCAUAUUGAAAUGCCAAAUGCUGCCUUAUUGUUUUUCCUUAAUGUUCCAGUUCACAGUUUGGUUCCAGAAUAGCACUUCAUUUCACCUAAAGGAGAUUGGGACACAUAAAGAAAAAGUCAAGCCAUUAUCCCGUGACUGUUUAUUUGUCACAGGACACAACGCUUUGCUUUGUUGCAAUGUUAUUUAUUUAGUUGUUUUAGUUCAUCACACAAGAAGAAACCCCAUUGUGUGCAUACUAACAGGUUAUGGGCAGAAACCCCAUUGUGUGCAUACUAACAGGUUAUGAGCAGAAGAAACCCCAUUGUGUGCAUACUAACAGGUUAUGGGCAGAAACCCCAUUGUGUGCAUACUAAGAGGUUAUGGGCAGAAGAAACCCCAUUGUGUGCAUACUAACAGGUUAUGGGCAGAAACCCCAUUGUGUGCAUACUAACAGGUUAUGAGCAGAAGAAACCCCAUUGUGUGCAUACUAAGAGGUUAUGGGCAGAAACCCCAUUGUGUGCAUACUAAGAGGUUAUGAGCAGAAGAAACCCCAUUGUGUGCAUACUAAGAGGUUAUGAGCAGAAGAAUCCCCAUUGUGUGCAUACUAAGAGGUUAUGGCAGAAGAAACCCCAUUGUGUGCAUACUAACAGGUUAUGAGCAGAAGAAACCCCAUUGUGUGCAUACUAAGAGGUUAUGAGCAGAAGAAACCCCAUUGUGUGCAUACUAACAGGUUAUGGACAGAAACCCCAUUGUGUGCAUACUAAGAGGUUAUGGGCAGAAACCCCAAUGUGUGCAUACUAAGAGUUUAUGGGCAGAAACCCCAUUGUGUGCAUACUAAGAGGUUAUGAGCAGAAGAAACCCCAUUGUGUGCAUACUAAGAGGUUAUGAGCAGAAGAAACCCCAUUGUGUGCAUACUAACAGGUUAUGGACAGAAACCCCAUUGUGUGCAUACUAAGAGUUUAUGGGCAGAAACCCCAUUGUGUGCAUACUAAGAGGUUAUGGGCAGAAACCCCAUUGUGUGCAUACUAAGAGGUUAUGAGCAGAAGAAUCCCCAUUGUGUGCAUACUUAGAGGUUAUGAGCAGAAGAAACCCCAUUGUGUGCAUACUAACAGGUUAUGAGCAGAAACCCCAUUGUGUGCAUACUAAGAGGUUAUGGGCAGAAACCCCAUUGUGUGCAUACUAAGAGGUUAUGGACAGAAACCCCAUUGUGUGCAUACUAAGAGGUUAUGGGCAGAAACCCCAUUGUGUGCAUACUAAGAGGUUAUGGGCAGAAACCCCAUUGUGUGCAUACUAAGAGGUUAUGAGCAGAAACCCCAUUGUGUGCAUACUAAGAGGUUAUGAGCAGAAGAAACCCCAUUGUGUGCAUACUAAGAGGUUAUGGGCAGAAACCCCAUUGUGUGCAUACUAAGAGGUUAUGGGCAGAAACCCCAUUGUGUGCAUACUAACAGGUUAUGGGCAGAAACCCCAUUGUGUGCAUACUAAGAGGUUAUGGGCAGAAACCCCAUUGUGUGCAUACUAAGAGGUUAUGGGCAGAAACCCCAUUGUGUGCAUACUAAGAGGUUAUGGGCAGAAACCCCAUUGUGUGCAUACUAAGAGGUUAUGAGCAGAAACCCCAUUGUGUGCAUACUAAGAGGUUAUGAGCAGAAACCCCAUUGUGUGCAUACUAAGAGGUUAUGAGCAGAAACCCCAUUGUGUGCAUACUAAGAGGUUAUGAGCAGUGUGGAAUGCCAAAAAGCCAAACCUUGAUACCUAAUGAACAUAUGGAGGUUUGAUUCACUGUAAUUAUUGAAUUAUGACACCACUGUUGCUAAAUGUGUUCCAGUCUGUUGAGCUGUCAUUCCCUUUCCAUUGUCAUAGUGGAAUGUUAGCACAAACGGACUGGAUUUCUCCAGGCUAAACUGUUACAGCAUUUCUAGAUGUUCUUGCACUACCUUCCUCUUCACAAGCGUGGAAAUAUAAUGAUGGUCAGAACAUACAGUGCCUUCGGAAAGUAUUUAACCACCUUGACUUGUUCUACAUUUUGUUGUGUUACAAAGUGGGAUUAAAAUGGAUUUGUCAUUUUUUGUCAACAAUCUAUACAAAGUUCCCUGUUAAAGUGGAAGAAUAAAACACCAAUAUAUCUUGAUUAGUUAAGUGUUCAACCCCCUGAGUCAAUACCUGUUAGAAUCACCUUUAGCAGCGACUACAGCUGUGAGUCUUUCUGAGUCUCUCUAAAAGCCUUGUGUUCUAGGUUAUUGUCCUGCUGAAAGGUGAAUUAAUCUCCCCGUGUCUGUUGGAAAGCAGACUGAACCGGGUUUUCCUCUAAGAUUUUGCCUGUGUUUUAGCUCUAUUCUGUACAUUUUUAUCCUGAAAAACUCCCCAGUCCUUAUCGAUGACAAGCAUACCCAUAACAAGAUGCAGACAGCACUUUGCUUGAAAAUAUAAAGAUUGGGACUCAGUAACGCUUUUUAUU
Salmo salar (Atlantic salmon) is the source of this 8635-nucleotide non-coding RNA. Lineage: Eukaryota; Metazoa; Chordata; Actinopteri; Salmoniformes; Salmonidae. The record is from RefSeq and is a predicted model, not a curated record.